GACGUGGUGGCGCUGCAGGCUAAACCGCAGAAGCCUGUGCUGCAGGGUCAGAAGACCAAGCAGUCGUAAGAUCGAAUCCACGCGACGGAGUGAGCGCCCGUCGCUUGUCCCAGCUCCCGCCAACCUAGCGGUUCGAAAGCAUGCAAAUGCGAGUAGAUAAAUAGGGACCACCUCGUGGGAAGGUAACAGCGUUCCGUGUCUAAGUCGCACUGGCCAUGUGACCACGGAAGAUUGUCUUCGGACAAAACGCUGGCUCUAUGGCUUGGAAACGGGGAUGAGCACCGCCCCCUAGAGUCGAACAUGACUGAACAAAAAUUGUCAAGGGGAACCUUUACCUUUACCAACUGCCUCAGGGAUCACACGCUGUGGAGAGGUGGGAAGAGAUUCCUUGGAGGAUGGAGCUUUCUCUCCUAGAUUUCUCCUUGGAGAAUUGAGCUGGGUGUGUGAGGCAACCUCUCCUUCGCCCCCAAAUCUACUCAGCUCCUCUGAGGGGGUUCCAGAUGGGAUUGAAUCUUAGAAUCAUGGAAGGGGCCUACAAGGCCAUCGAGUCCAACCCCCUGCUCAAGGCAGGAGUCCAAAUCACAGCAGAUCCAACAGAUGGUUUUCCAAUUUUCUCCUGAAUGCCUCUAGUGUAGGAGCGCUCACCACUUCCUGAGAUCAAUGGUUCCUUUGUCAUACUACUCUUAAGAGUUAAGAAGUUUUUCCUGAUCUAAAGAGGUGUGGCCAUUCUGUGGUAUUCCAACCCCCCCCCCUUUUGGAGUGGCAGAGGGCUGGACUAGAUGGCCCUCGGGUGACUCCAACUGCACCACUGAUUCGUGGAUUCUGCAAUUCUGCUCUCCCCCCCCGGCAACAGUACAGUCCAAGUGAGUAUUCCAGAGGGUCCAGCCUCACCCAGAAAAAGAGCAUGGCCCCGGGCAGAGGCUUCCCAUCCAUCACUAUCUCCGGUGCGAGCAGCGACCGCAGCGACCGGAAAGAAAGCUCCAUCUCCAGCACUCUGCCGCACAUUUCCAUUACGACCCAGUCCUUCGUGAGCCAAAUACCAGAGGUGGACGAAGAGGUCUCCGUGUCCAGCACCCCCCACCCGGACCCCAUCAAGAGCCCUCCUGUCAAGGCCUCCGAUGCCAGCAUUCAGACGGAGGCUUUAGACAGCAAUAGGUAACUGGGGGGAC
RNAcentral lists this long non-coding RNA (1169 nucleotides) under Pogona vitticeps (central bearded dragon). RNAcentral describes it as "lncRNA (ENSPVIG00000001119.1)". Lineage: Eukaryota; Metazoa; Chordata; Lepidosauria; Squamata; Agamidae. The record is from RNAcentral.